This 473-nucleotide ribosomal RNA is filed under the name uncultured bacterium. RNAcentral describes it as "bacterial SSU rRNA". It matches the Rfam family "Bacterial small subunit ribosomal RNA", at positions 355 to 825 of the family's 1533-position model. The record is from RNAcentral.
UAGGGAAUAUUGCGCAAUGGGCGAAAGCCUGACGCAGCAACGCCGCGUGAGUGAUGAAGGCCUUCGGGUCGUAAAGCUCUGUCGGAGGGAACGAAUGCUCCUGAAGUUAACAGCCUCAGGAGGUGACGGUACCCUCAAAGGAAGCACCGGCUAACUCUGUGCCAGCAGCCGCGGUAAUACAGAGGGUGCAAGCGUUGUUCGGAAUCAUUGGGCGUAAAGGGCGCGUAGGCGGCAUGACAAGUCACUUGUGAAAUCUCUGGGCUUAACCCAGAACGGCCAAGUGAUACUGUCGCGCUAGAGUGCAGAAGGGGCAAUCGGAAUUCUUGGUGUAGCGGUGAAAUGCGUAGAUAUCAAGAGGAACACCUGAGGUGAAGACGGGUUGCUGGGCUGACACUGACGCUGAGGCGCGAAAGCCAGGGGAGCAAACGGGAUUAGAUACCCCAGUAGUCCCUGAGCGGGCUGGCAAGGCGCAU